GCGCCGCGCAAGGCCAUUCAUGAGGGUAUUUUUGAGAGCUCCCAAUCCAUAUAUUGUUUCAUUAAUAGGUUCAUUGAGGAGCUAGACUUGAUCACCGAAAAUACUCGCCAGUCUACUAUUCUGAAUGCUAGCAAUCAGCGCCCUAGAGCUCCGCCGGUGGGCCAUGCAAAAAUACAUGUUGAUGCCGGAUGCCGUAAGGGAGUAGGGGGGACGACCGCAGCUAUUUCCAGAGAUGAAAAUGGUACAUUGUUAGGUAGCUCAACUUUUGUCAUCGGAGGUGUUCAUGAUCCAUCAAUCUUGGAGGUGAUAGCUUGUAGGGAGGCCCUAGCCCUUGCACAAGAUCUCAACUUACAUCAUUUUGUGGUAGCUUCGGAUGCAAAAGAGGUAGUCGAAACCAUCCUCAAAGAUGGAUGUGGCAAUAACGGAGCAAUUAUCAGCGAAAUCAAACUCCAAUCUUCUUCUUUUAGUUGUAACUUUACUUUUGAAGGUCAUGUAGUUAAUUAUGAGGCUCAUAGUUUAAAGUUUGCACUUUUUGUAGGUCCGGGAUGCCAUGUUUGGUUUGGCCAAUCCCAUGACCAAAUUUGUAUCCCGCAUUCUGUGGAUUUUGCUGAAUAA
This 615-nucleotide ribosomal RNA is filed under the name Triticum aestivum (bread wheat). RNAcentral describes it as "partial small subunit ribosomal RNA". The record is from RNAcentral. Lineage: Eukaryota; Viridiplantae; Streptophyta; Magnoliopsida; Poales; Poaceae.